GACGGAGGGUGCUAGCGUUGUUCGGAAUUACUGGGCGUAAAGGGCGCGUAGGCGGCCUGAUCAGUCGGGUGUGAAAGCCCGGGGCUCAACCCCGGAACGACACCCGAGACGGUCAGGCUGGAGACCGGGAGAGGAGGGUGGAAUAGCCAGUGUAGAGGUGAAAUUCGUAGAUAUUGGCUGGAACACCGGUGGCGAAGGCGGCUUUCUGGACGACAACUGACGCUGAGACGCGAAAGCGUGGGGAGCAAACAGG
RNAcentral lists this ribosomal RNA (253 nucleotides) under uncultured bacterium. Its description in RNAcentral is "partial 16S ribosomal RNA". It matches the Rfam family "Bacterial small subunit ribosomal RNA", at positions 524 to 776 of the family's 1533-position model. The record is from RNAcentral.